UACGUAGGGUGCGAGCGUUGUCCGGAAUUACUGGGCGUAAAGAGCUCGUAGGUGGUUUGUCGCGUUGUCCGUGAAAACUCACAACUCAAUUGUGGGCGUGCGGGCGAUACGGGCAGACUGGAGUACUGCAGGGGAGACUGGAAUUCCUGGUGUAGCGGUGAAAUGCGCAGAUAUCAGGAGGAACACCGAUGGCGAAGGCAGGUCUCUGGGCCAUAACUGACGCUGAGAAGCGAAAGCAUGGGGAGCGAACAGG
Molecule: ribosomal RNA, 253 nt
Filed under: uncultured bacterium
Lineage: Bacteria
Description: partial 16S ribosomal RNA
Rfam family: Bacterial small subunit ribosomal RNA
Source: RNAcentral